GAUGAACGCUGGCGGCGUGCCUAAUACAUGCAAGUCGAGCGGACAGACGAGGAGCUUGCUCGUUUGACGUUAGCGGAGGACGGGUGAGUAACGCGUGGAAACCCUACUUAUCAGUCUGGGAUAACUUGGGGACACCGGAUCUAAUCCGGGAUAAUAUAUUGAACCGCAGUGUUCAAUGGUAAGAGUCGGCUUUUGUGUAACGAAUCGAUGCAUCUGAGCCGCAUUAGCUGGUUGUUAAGGUAAAGGGUUACGAAGGCAAGGAUGCGUAGCCGACCUGACAGGGUGAUCGGCCACACGGGAACUGAGCCACGCUCCAUACUCCUACGAGAGGCAGCAGUAGCGAAUCGGCCGCAAUGGGCGAGAGCCUGGCGGAGCAAGGCGGCGUGAGUGGUGACGGUGUUCGGAUCGUAAAACUCUGUUAUUAGGGAAGAACAAAUUUGUAAGUAGAUGUGCAGGUAGUGACGGUACCGAAUAAGAAAGCAACGGCUAACUACGUG
RNAcentral lists this ribosomal RNA (497 nucleotides) under uncultured bacterium. Its description in RNAcentral is "partial 16S ribosomal RNA". It matches the Rfam family "Bacterial small subunit ribosomal RNA", at positions 28 to 507 of the family's 1533-position model. The record is from RNAcentral.